AGAGUUUGAUCAUGGCUCAGGAUGAACGCUGGCGGCGUGCCUAACACAUGCAAGUCGAGCGGAGUUUUUAGAAAGCUUGCUUUUUAAAAACUUAGCGGCGGACGGGUGAGUAACGCGUGGGUAACCUGCCCUAUACACAGGGAUAACAUUGAGAAAUUGAUGCUAAUACCUGAUAAGCUAGCGCCUAGGCAUCUAGGAGUUAGAAAAACUGAGGUGGUAUAGGAGGGGCCCGCGUCUGAUUAGCUAGUUGGUGGGGUAAAGGCCUACCAAGGCGACGAUCAGUAGCCGACCUGAGAGGGUGAUCGGCCACAUUGGAACUGAGACACGGUCCAAACUCCUACGGGAGGCAGCAGUGGGGAAUAUUGCACAAUGGGGGGAACCCUGAUGCAGCAACGCCGCGUGAAGGAAGAAGUAUUUCGGUAUGUAAACUUCUAUCGACAGGGAAGAAAAGAAUGACGGUACCUGAAUAAGAAGCACCGGCUAAAUACGUGCCAGCAGCCGCGGUAAUACGUAUGGUGCAAGCGUUAUCCGGAUUUACUGGGUGUAAAGGGUGAGUAGGCGGUUAUGCAAGUCAUAUGUGRAAUUCUGGGGCUCAACCUCAGAGCUGCAUAAGAAACUGUGUAACUAGAGUACAGGAGAGGUAAGCGGAAUUCCUAGUGUAGCGGUGAAAUGCGUAGAUAUUAGGAAGAACACCGGUGGCGAAGGCGGCUUACUGGACUGAAACUGACGCUGAGUCACGAAAGCGUGGGGAGCGAACAGGAUUAGAUACCCUGGUAGU
Molecule: ribosomal RNA, 778 nt
Filed under: uncultured bacterium
Lineage: Bacteria
Description: bacterial SSU rRNA
Rfam family: Bacterial small subunit ribosomal RNA
Source: RNAcentral